Molecule: ribosomal RNA, 147 nt
Filed under: Paenibacillus antri
Lineage: Bacteria; Bacillati; Bacillota; Bacilli; Caryophanales; Paenibacillaceae
Description: Paenibacillus sp. SYSU_K30003 partial 23S ribosomal RNA
Rfam family: Bacterial large subunit ribosomal RNA
Source: RNAcentral
AAAGCAUCUAAGCGUGAAGCCCCCCUCAAGAUGAGAUUUCCCUGCUUGAAGACCCCAUGUAGACGACGUGGUUGAUAGGUUCGGGGUGGAAGCGCGGCAACGCGUGGAGCUGACGAAUACUAAUCGGUCGAGGACUUAUCCAACAUU